Molecule: long non-coding RNA, 832 nt
Filed under: Papio anubis (olive baboon)
Lineage: Eukaryota; Metazoa; Chordata; Mammalia; Primates; Cercopithecidae
Description: lncRNA (ENSPANG00000038851.1)
Source: RNAcentral
AUGGCCGCGAGGAUGAGGAGGCCGGUGAAUGUCCUCGUUCACAGUGAGGGUCCUGCAUUUCCAGCACAUAAUACCGAGUACAGUACACGGAGCAGAGAAGCAAGGGGACCAGCAGGGGCUGAGCAGAAAAACAGACUAAAUGUUUUAACAGCUGCUCUUUUUUUCUUUACCUCUUUGGCCCAAGGAUCUGAUUUCCUUCUGAAGGGGUGGGCUUUCUAUGGGCCGCGGACUCUGCUCAGCAGGCCUGUUUACUCUGAGAAGCCGAGUUCUGGUUCCCUCUUCGACAAGAGCUUGCUUUUGAGGAGAAAAAAGGAGUGGUUAAAAAAAGGAGGAAGAGCAUCCGCGAGACUGUGUGCACCCUGAAUACAGCCUGUAAAAUUACCCCGUCCUGGCCAACGUAAGAAGGACAAUCAGCAAGUGGUCAUGAUUAUCAACAAGAAAUAAACAAUGAACAGAUUAGAGCCUACAAUAUUAAUCAGUCUUACUGCAAAUACACUGCACUUUGCCACUCCAAGAUGGCACACAUUAAACGUUCCAUUGUGGAUGAAUUCACAUCUACAGCUUUAAAGGAAGAGUCUGGAGAAGCAUAGCAGCUUCUGGGGCCUCUCCUCUUGGGUGAUGCUUUCCAUACACUUACAUGCUAGGCAUUCAAAAGAGAAGAAAGAAAGUGACAGGGUGUGAAUAAUCCUGGCGGGGAUUUUCCUGUGGCCCCCAAAUUUUGUAAACAUAACAAAAUUGUUUGGAAACAGUAGCAGCAACCACUAGCCCCAAUCAAAAUCAUUUCUGGUAGUGAAUCAUUUCAAAAUAUAUCUGUUAUUGAUGAACAGUGCUC